CUUCCACGAGGGCAGCCGGGGUUGCCUUCCAAAAGGUACCUUGGUCCGGCCGGUUCACAAAGAAUAAAAAGACGUUUUUCAUGAGAACCACCAGUGGAAGAAAAGAUCACUUCCUCUGUAGACACUUUAUGGGUUUCGGAUUCCAUAAACUCUGCCAUCAUUUAAGCUUCGACCAUGUGAUACGUGACUGGAUAGAAUUUCUGGAGAACUGUAUUAACAUGUUCCAAAAAGCUGAAUCCUGAGCCAGCAGAUGUGUUCCCAAGACUCACCUUACUAUGCAAAAUCAUGCAAUAGAAGCUACAGGGCUGGACAUUCGACAAUAUCGUCAGUGACAUGUGAAGACACAUAAUAAACAUGGUAGCAUGGUUCUGUCCAUGGCAAAUGGUUAAGAAAUAUGCCAGUAUUACAAUAAAUAUGGUGCU
This is a non-coding RNA of Odocoileus virginianus texanus, 422 nucleotides long. The record is from RefSeq and is a predicted model, not a curated record. NCBI's taxonomy places the organism in Eukaryota, Metazoa, Chordata, Mammalia, Artiodactyla, Cervidae.